Caretta caretta (loggerhead turtle) is the source of this 994-nucleotide long non-coding RNA. RefSeq lists it as uncharacterized. The record is from RefSeq and is a predicted model, not a curated record. Lineage: Eukaryota; Metazoa; Chordata; Testudines; Cheloniidae.
ACAAUUCUAACAGGCCCCUGCUUUAAAGCUAGCCGAGCUUUACAAACCGAGAUCACAAACAGCGGUUUCUCUAGAAAACCAUACAGAAGCCAAGGAGUUCUGCUGGUAAAAAUAGUAGCAUGUGGCAUUUGGAUCCUGCCAAGCUCACAUCCCAUGAAAGACGACAGCCAAAAAGCUCUUAAAUAGAUGAACAAUGAGGAAGGACAAAGCCAAGAAAAUAGUACAUGCUGCCCUUCUCCCAGUUGUAGAUAACUUACAGCAAGAAAGCGAAGAAACCGGUUUUCCCGACAGCUAGGAACUGUUUCUCACCUUGGACCUGGAGCCAGUACCCCCUGAACCCACCCAAGGCUUCCUCCUGGACCCGCCAGGGGGAGAAGGGACCUGUGCUGCAUGUGUUUUAAGGAUCACAGGAUCUUCUCCUUCCCAGAGGCUAGUGAAGAUUAGAAGGCAAAAAAAACACACUCUUGAUGAAAUGUUCUCUGAGCUAAUGCUGUCCUCCCACACUGACAGAGCACAGACGAAUGCAUGGAGGAAGACAAUGCUAGAAUGCAGGAAAGCACAAAAUGACUGGGAGGAGAGGUGACGGGCUGAGGAGAGUAAGUAGCGGGCUGAAGAGAGGACUGAAGCUGAAAGGUGGCGGCAGCAUGAUGAGAGGAGACAGGAUUCAAUGCUGAGGCUGCUGGAGGAUCAAACUAAUAUGCUCCAGCAUAUGGCUGAGCUGCAGGAAAGGCAGCUGAAGCACAGACUGCCGCUACAGCCCCUGUGUAACCAACCGCCCUCCUCCCCAAGUUCCAUAGCCUCCUCACCCAGAUGCCCAAGAACACGGUGGGGAUGAGGGCCCUCCAGCCACUCCACCCCAGAGAAUUGCCCAAGCAACAGAAGGCUGGCAUUCAAUAAGUUUUAAAGUUUUAAACUUUUAAAGUGCUGUGUGGCCUUGUCCUUCCCUCCUCCACCACCCCUCCCACUGCUUCUCUCCUCCACCACCCCUCACGGG